GGGCGUUUGGCACAGUGGUAGCGCGCACGCUUUGCAUGCGUGAUGUCGAGGGUUCAAACCCCUCAACGUCCA
Molecule: transfer RNA, 72 nt
Filed under: Ganoderma lucidum G.260125-1
Lineage: Eukaryota; Fungi; Basidiomycota; Agaricomycetes; Polyporales; Polyporaceae
Description: tRNA-Ala (TGC) (tRNA-Ala-TGC-2-1)
Rfam family: tRNA
About the family: Transfer RNA (tRNA) molecules are approximately 80 nucleotides in length. Their secondary structure includes four short double-helical elements and three loops (D, anti-codon, and T loops).
Source: RNAcentral